Molecule: long non-coding RNA, 163 nt
Organism: Dermochelys coriacea (leatherback sea turtle)
Lineage: Eukaryota; Metazoa; Chordata; Testudines; Dermochelyidae
Exons: 4
Source: RefSeq, a predicted model, not a curated record
GCUUCUCAGAAGGAGCAAUCAGGUGGACCCCAUCUCUGCUUAGCAGUCCUUCUUCCUGGAACAGCAUCCCGUGGUCAAGGAAGCUGAAGCCCUCCUAGCAGCACCAUCCUCUCAGCCAGGCAUUUGCCUCCAGGAUGCCUCUGUCUCUGCCUGGGCCCCUACC